This 322-nucleotide ribosomal RNA is filed under the name uncultured Fusobacterium sp. RNAcentral's name for it is "bacterial SSU rRNA". It matches the Rfam family "Bacterial small subunit ribosomal RNA", at positions 28 to 358 of the family's 1533-position model. The record is from RNAcentral. Lineage: Bacteria; Fusobacteriati; Fusobacteriota; Fusobacteriia; Fusobacteriales; Fusobacteriaceae.
GAUGAACGCUGACAGAAUGCUUAACACAUGCAAGUCAACUUGAACUUCGGUUUGGGUGGCGGACGGGUGAGUAACGCGUAAAGAACUUGCCUCACAGUUAGGGACAACAUUUGGAAACGAAUGCUAAUACCUGAUACUAUGAUUUUAGGGCAUCCUAGAAUUAUGAAAGCUAUAUGCGCUGUGAGAGAGCUUUGCGUCCCAUUAGCUAGUUGGAGAGGUAACGGCUCACCAAGGCGAUGAUGGGUAGCCGGCCUGAGAGGGUGAACGGCCACAUGGGGACUGAGAGCCGGCCCUUACUCCUGCGUGAUUCACCCCCCUUGUU